RNAcentral lists this ribosomal RNA (253 nucleotides) under uncultured bacterium. Its description in RNAcentral is "partial 16S ribosomal RNA". It matches the Rfam family "Bacterial small subunit ribosomal RNA", at positions 524 to 776 of the family's 1533-position model. The record is from RNAcentral.
UACAGAGGGUGCAAGCGUUAAUCGGAAUUACUGGGCGUAAAGCGUGCGUAGGCGGUUGGCUAAGUCUGAUGUGAAAUCCCCGAGCUUAACUUGGGAACUGCAUUAGAUACUGGUUGGCUAGAGUAAGGUAGAGGAAAGCGGAAUUCCAGGUGUAGCGGUGAAAUGCGUAGAUAUCUGGAGGAACACCGGUGGCGAAGGCGGCUUUCUGGACUUAUACUGACGCUGAGGCACGAAAGCGUGGGGAGCAAACAGG